GGGACUUGUUAGGGGGAACAGGCAGGAAUUUCACUGUUAAAUAAUGCCCUGGGCAGGCAGUAGGCCUGGGAUGCUGGGCACCUCAGGUAACUGCCCAUCAUGGUGAACUGAAGUGCAGUGGUCCUGGUCAGCUCGCUGUCUGUGAUGGCCCUGAGGGGACUGUGGCUCAUCAGCUACGAGCAAGGGGCCUGUGGAGCCGUGAUGUUCUCCAGGCAUUACCCCACUGUUGAAAAACGAGCAAAAGCCUUCAACGGAGCAAGCUAUGUGACUGUACCAGAGGACAGUGUUUUUCUUAAAGCAUUGCUUUUUGAACUUAAGCUGACAGAUCCAGACAAGAACUUUGUGGAAUAUCGAGAUAGCUGUUCUCGAAUCAACAAGACUUCUGUGUAUGCGCUUCCAACAGGAGGAGGGGACCUCUGGCCUGUCCUUGCCUUUCAGAAGAGUGGUUUGAUAUAUGUUUGUCUUCCCCUAGUUGAGCAAUUCUUGAAGCCACGCCCACCCCUCAUUAGCAUUAGUGGAAUCUCACAAGCCUUCGCUCUCUUGUCAGGAUUGCUGGUCUUCAUUAACUCCAGUCAGAAGAAUGAAGCUGAGAUGAGUGCAAAAGUGGGCCAACUUCCAAGUUUGCUCAUGCAGGCCUGUCCAUAUGGCACCCCAUUAGAUACAGACUUGAAUGGCUUAUUAGAUAACAUUCAUGUUUCUACAAACCACACGCAGAAACAACCAAUUUGGAGAAUUAGCACAUACAAAGGCAAACCUCAGGUUAAUGUUUGUAUCACUGAAAAAGUCAAGUCUAUGCAAUAUGACAAAACGGAUGUUGCAGAUAUGUGGCAGGUUUAUGGAACUGUGACUUGUAAGUGUGAUUUAGAAGGAGCUACAUCAAAUGUGACUGUCAGCUUGAACCUCCCUGCCAAUGGCUCUCCACUCCAGGAUAUCCUGGUGCAUCCCUGUGUGACUUCUCUUGACUCUGCAAUUCUUACUUCCUGUAGCGUUGAUGUCAUGGAUGAUUCUGCAUUUAGCGGGCCAUAUAAACUUCCUUUCACUCCUCCUUCUGACUUAUUCAAUUUGUGCUACUAUACUUCCCAGGUGCCUGUACCACCAAUUUUGGGAUUUUACCAGCUGAAGGAAGAAGAAUUGCAAUUAAAAUUAACAGUUAAUUUAAAACUUCAUGAAAGUGUAAAAAAUGCUUUUGAGUACUGUGAAGCUCGUAUACCUUUCUUUAACAGGGGUCCAGUCGCUCAUUUGGAGUACAAAGUUAGUUAUGGCCAGCUAGAUGUAUCUCGAGAGAAAAGCUUAUUGGUUUGGGUCAUAGGACAAAAGUUUCCCAAAUCAUUAGAAAUUUCUCUUACUGGAACUGUGACUUUUCGUUCUAUGAGCAAAGAGCAACCAGUUGAUCCAAUUUGCACUGGGAGUACUGCAUAUGUAAAACUUUAUUUUAGGAUCCCAGACUACACACUUACUGGAUGUUAUGCAGAUCAGCAUUCUGUUCAGGUCUUUUCAACAGGAAAACCAAAAAUAAGUACAUCCCGGGAAUUGAUUUCCUCAGAUUAUUACAUCUGGAAUUCCAAAGCCCCAGCACCUGUAGUGUACAGAACAUUAUUUUUCUAAUUUCCCUGUGAAGAAUUUUUGCAUUUGAACAAAAAAGACCGCUAUCAGAAGUGAUGUUAAUAUAUUGUAAAGAAAAAAAAAAGUGUCCACGGUUCAAGAAAGAUGUUGAAAAAUUGGAGACGAUCUUGCAGAAGAUCUACAAGAAUGGUUACAGGAUUGGAAAACAUGCCUUUUAGUGAGAGAAUUAAGGGGCUCAAACUGUUAAAAGUAAAGGUUAGGUUAAGUGGUGACGAUCACAGUUUAUAAGUGAAUACAUGGGCAACAGAAAUUUGAUAAUCAGGCUCUUUAGUCUCAAAGACAAAGCUUCAACAAAAUCCAAUGGCUGGAAGUUGAAGCUAGACAAAUUCAAAUAAGGUGCAAAAUUUUAACAGGGUAAAUUUACUUUUGGAACAACUUACCGAGGGUUGUGGUGGAUUCUCUAUUGUUGGAAAGGUUUAAAAUCAAGAGUGGAUAUUCUUCUAAAAGCAUGCUCUAAUUCAAACGGGUAUUCAUUCAGGGAAUUCGUAUGACCUAUGUUACACAGGAGGUCCGCCUAGAUGAUCACAGUGAGCCCCUCUGGGCUUGGAAUCUGAAUUUCGACUUACUGUACAGUCUAGUCUCCCCAUGCGCUAUUGUUGUAAUCCUUUGGGAUGAAAUUCAGCAAGGGGCAGAGGGCACAUACAAGACUCCCUGUGCCCUAAAGCACCAUAAUGGCACUGCACAGUGGAGGAAAUAAUUGCAGCUCUGUGUUCCCUAAAUGAGCCUUUAGGAAGAGGCUAGUGCAUCCCUGCUUGUGAAGAUGCAGUUGUGGCAUUAUGCCCCAUAUUCUUCAUAGUAAUAUUAUUAUGAGUAUGACCUAAUUAUGAUGUGCAAGAUAAGGCAUGUGAGAUAUCAUUGGAAAGGUUAUGAUUUACGGAAUAUGAUUAUUCUACUUGUAUGCAUGUAGUAUUUGGAUAUCUGAAGUUAGGAAUACUGUCUAUGCAUCCAUUACAAAUGUGUUUACACCUGGGGAAUGCCCACUAGACAGAAUGCAUCAGUCUAGAUGGCUGGUUGGGAAGGGCCAUUAAGGAAAACAAUAGGACUUUGAAGAUGCCAAUCUCCCAGCGGGAAGCCUUCCUGAGGAUGUUACAAACAGUCUCUCUCAUGGCUGCUAUGGCCUUACAGAGGCAUGUGACCAAGUCACCUGGUACUGGACUCCAUCAGAAUACUAGUGUUUUUCCACUGACCAGGUGUGGGAAUCAAACCGGGGGACAAAGGGUUCCUGCCAUAUGCUAAAACUAUUUAAGGCAGGGGAGUGACAUCAUCAUGAGUCGUUCUUCACUGACUCCCCGCCCAAGAUUACUGCUGUAAACACCUAAGAAAAAAACACUAAAUUGGGGGAUGUGACAGGUUGGAUCACAGAAACCCCCUGAAAGCUGCCACCUGAUGUGCCAAGACUACUUCUGCCCCUGCUUUCCUGCCCUGUCAGCUUAGGACUUCAGUGCCCUGUCUGGUUUGAGCCUGCUGCAAACCCAGACCCAGGUCUGAACCACGUCCCUUAGCAGCUGUAGGCUUAACUGAAAGCAGCUUACAGAAGUGUUCCUGUCUUUAACACUCAGAUGUCCAACUCCCAAUGGGGUCCAAACCCUAAAUAAAUCCGUUUUACCCUGUAUAAAGCUUAUACAGGGUAAACUCAUAAAUGGUUUGCCCUCUAUAACACUGAUAGAGAGAUAUGCACAGCUGUCUCCGCCCUUCCCCCCCCUACAAGUAUUAAUACAUACUCUGGGUUAAUUAAUAAGUAAGAAGUUAUUUUAUUAAAUACAGAAAGUAGGAUUUAAGUGGUUCCAAGUAGUAACAGACCAAACAAAGUGAAUCACCAACCAAAAUAAAAUAAAACCUGCAAGUCUAUGUCUAAUAAAACUGAAUACAGACAAAACCUCACCUGUUCCAGUAAGCUUCCUUUUACAGACUGAUCUCCUUCUAGUCUGGGUCCAGCAAUCACUCACACCCCCUGUAGUUAUUGCCCUUUGUUCCAGUUUCUUUCGUAGGGGUGGAGAGGCUCUCUUUAGCCAGCUGAAGACAAAAUGGAGGGGUCGCCCACCGGCUUAAAUAGACUUUCUCUUGUGGGAGGAGACCCCCUCUUCUCUCGUAUGCAAAGUUCAGCUCCAAGAUGGAGUUCUGGAGUCACCUGGGCAAGUCACAUGUCCAUGCAUGACUCAUGGUUUUUACACACAGAAGCCAUUGCCCACAUGGUAUCUUGAAUGUCUCCAGGAAGACUUCUUAUGUGGAUUGGAGCAUUCCAAGAUACAUUGUUCCUUAAAUACUUCUUGAUUGGGCACUUAACUUUGCGAAUUCCUUUCUCCAGGACCUGACCAAAUGCUCAACUAAGGUUAUUUAGAAAUCAAGCCAGUACACGGCCAAUAUUCGUAACUUCAAACAAAAAAAUAAUACAUACAUACAAAUAGGAUUAAUAGAUUCAGUAGAUCAUAACCUUUACAUAGAUAUGUUACGUGGCAUAUGUAGCAUAGAACAUAUUCCAGUUGUCAUAUAUAUAUUCAUAAGCAUAUUUCCAUAAAACCUUAUGGGGGGCACCGUCACAGGGGAGAAGGGCUGAACCUAGGCUAGAGAGUUUUCUAGCCUGUGAAAGGAAUACCUGGAGUUUUAAGCUGCAAGCAGGUGUAGCUUGCCCUCAAGAAUCUCUGCAAUCUGCCUAAAACAAUAUUUAGGGUGAGAAUUUUCUACUU
Caretta caretta (loggerhead turtle) is the source of this 4307-nucleotide RNA transcript. It is a transcript of the gene named adaptor related protein complex 5 subunit mu 1, with no coding region annotated. NCBI's taxonomy places the organism in Eukaryota, Metazoa, Chordata, Testudines, Cheloniidae. The record is from RefSeq and is a predicted model, not a curated record.